Saccostrea cuccullata (small rock oyster) is the source of this 855-nucleotide long non-coding RNA. RefSeq lists it as uncharacterized. The transcript has 3 exons. Lineage: Eukaryota; Metazoa; Mollusca; Bivalvia; Ostreida; Ostreidae. The record is from RefSeq and is a predicted model, not a curated record.
GAAUUCUAUUUAUAGAGAUCUUCUCAUCAAAACAACAUUGAGGCUAGCACGUAACCUGAGUAACCAUUACAUAAGGAAUGUAUUGUGUCUAAUGCAAUAAAAGCCUUGAUUAUACAAACACCCGAUUAUUUGGAAAAAAAACAACCAACUGUAAAAGAAUGCAACAGAAGCAAUAAAAUGGCUUUGGCAGCCUCCCCUUACGCCUCUACAGAGGAGACGACAAAUGCCUGUAGAGCCUGUCGACUUCUCCUGGGCCCGUGUACAGAUCAACUGAGGGAUAUUUUACUUCACCAUGCACCGUCAACAUUCCCAAACGUCAUUAAACAAAAGAUAAGUAAUCUUCCCCGUCUGACAGCACCACAACUAAAUUUGAUAUUACCUAGAGGCAGUACUUAUUCCGGGAACUACAAUGAUGUGGAUAUUCCAUUAUUGUACAUACUACUUAGAAACAUUUGCAGUAUACCACCACACAGCAACGGCUGGGGAAAUGAUCCAGAUUCUACCGACUGAUCUCUCUCUGCCAACAUUGAGAGAAUCCGUAUUGUCAGAAAUCAGUGUGUUCAUUCUUCUAGUCCCGUCCUCUGCAAUGCUGAAUUCAACACAAUCUGGUCCACUGUAAGAUCAGCAGUUGUCGACCUUGAUUCUUUAGUUAAUAACGGGAAUCAGUACAAAAGAGAGGUGGAUUUUUUGAGACAUGAGACAAUGGACCCUGUCCGUGACCUUCAUUACAUAGAAGAACUGAGGAAACAGGCCGAAGAAGAUGCCGAAACUAGACAAAUUGUUUAUGGUCUUGAAGAUAAGAUAGAAGAAAUGAAAAUAGAUCAAGCUGAGAAUCGACAUAAUAUGCUGAAGAUU